This 504-nucleotide ribosomal RNA is filed under the name uncultured bacterium. RNAcentral describes it as "partial 16S ribosomal RNA". It matches the Rfam family "Bacterial small subunit ribosomal RNA", at positions 30 to 523 of the family's 1533-position model. The record is from RNAcentral.
AUUGAACGCUGGCGGCAGGCUUAACACAUGCAAGUCGAGCGGGGUGAUGGUGCUUGCACUAUCACUUAGCGGCGGACGGGUGAGUAAUGCUUAGGAAUCUGCCUAUUAGUGGGGGACAACAUCUCGAAAGGGAUGCUAAUACCGCAUACGUCCUACGGGAGAAAGCAGGGGAUCACUUGUGACCUUGCGCUAAUAGAUGAGCCUAAGUCGGAUUAGCUAGUUGGUGGGGGAAAGGCCUACCAAGGCGACGAUCUGUAGCGGGUCUGGGAGGAUGAUCCGCCACCAUGGGACUGAGCCACGGGCCAGACUCCUACGGGAGGCAGCAGUGGGGAAUAUUGCGCAAAGGGCGAAAGCCUGACGCAGCAACGCCGCGUGAGUGAUGAAGGCCGUCGGGUCGUAAAGCUCUGUCGGCAGGGGCGAAACUUCGGUGGGAACAAUACCCCAUCGAUUUGACGGUACCUGCAAAGGAAGCACCGGCUAACUCCGUGCCAGCAGCCGCGGUAA